RNAcentral lists this transfer RNA (75 nucleotides) under Pseudomonadales bacterium. RNAcentral describes it as "tRNA-Asn". It matches the Rfam family "tRNA". From Rfam's summary of the family: Transfer RNA (tRNA) molecules are approximately 80 nucleotides in length. Their secondary structure includes four short double-helical elements and three loops (D, anti-codon, and T loops). Further hydrogen bonds mediate the characteristic L-shaped molecular structure. tRNAs have two regions of fundamental functional importance: the anti-codon, which is responsible for specific mRNA codon recognition, and the 3' end, to which the tRNAs corresponding amino acid is attached (by aminoacyl-tRNA synthetases). tRNAs cope with the degeneracy of the genetic code in two manners: having more than one tRNA (with a specific anti-codon) for a particular amino acid; and 'wobble' base-pairing, i.e. permitting non-standard base-pairing at the 3rd anti-codon position. Lineage: Bacteria; Pseudomonadati; Pseudomonadota; Gammaproteobacteria; Pseudomonadales. RNAcentral also lists the same sequence under 6 other names. The record is from RNAcentral.
UCCAGAGUAGCUCAAUGGUAGAGCAAUCGGCUGUUAACCGAUGGGUUGUAGGUUCGAGCCCUACCUCUGGAGCCA